GACGAACGCUGGCGGCGUGCUUAACACAUGCAAGUCGAACGGAAAGGCCCUGCUUUUGUGGGGUGCUCGAGUGGCGAACGGGUGAGUAACACGUGAGUAACCUGCCCUUGACUUUGGGAUAACUUCAGGAAACUGGGGCUAAUACCGGAUAGGAGCUCCUGCUGCAUGGUGGGGGUUGGAAAGUUUCGGCGGUUGGGGAUGGACUCGCGGCGUAUCAGCUUGUUGGUGGGGUGGUGGCUUACCAAGGCAUUGACGGGUAGCCGGCCUGAGAGGGUGACCGGCCACAUUGGGACUGAGAUACGGCCCAGACUCCUACGGGAGGCAGCAGUGGGGAAUGUUGCACAAUGGGCGGAAGCCUGAUGCAGCAACGCCGCGUGCGGGAUGACGGCCUUCGGGUUGUAAACCGCUUUCGCCUGUGACGAAGCGUGAGUGACGGUAAUGGGUAAAGAAGCACCGGCUAACUACGUG
This 468-nucleotide ribosomal RNA is filed under the name uncultured bacterium. RNAcentral describes it as "partial 16S ribosomal RNA". It matches the Rfam family "Bacterial small subunit ribosomal RNA", at positions 28 to 507 of the family's 1533-position model. The record is from RNAcentral.